This 72-nucleotide transfer RNA is filed under the name Streptomyces sp. PVA_94-07. Lineage: Bacteria; Bacillati; Actinomycetota; Actinomycetes; Kitasatosporales; Streptomycetaceae. The record is from RNAcentral.
CUCGCGGGCGAGGGCUACUUCGACCACACCAAGUGCCACCGGCUGACCAGCGCCGGCAUCUACGUGCUGCAG